UAGGGAAUCUUCCGCAAUGGGCGAAAGCCUGACGGAGCAACGCCGCGUGAGUGAUGAAGGUCUUCGGAUCGUAAAACUCUGUUAUUAGGGAAGAACAAAUGUGUAAGUAACUAUGCACGUCUUGACGGUACCUAAUCAGAAAGCCACGGCUACCUACGUGCCAGCAGCCGCGGUAAUACGUAGGUGGCAAGCGUUAUCCGGAAUUAUUGGGCGUAAAGCGCGCGUAGGCGGUUUUUUAAGUCUGAUGUGAAAGCCCACGGCUCAACCGUGGAGGGUCAUUGGAAACUGGAAAACUGGAGUGCAGAAGAGGAAAGUGGAAUGCCAGGUGUAGCGGUGAAAUGCGCAGAGAUAUGGAGGAACACCAGUGGCGAAGGCGACUUUCUGGUCUGUAACUGACGCUGAUGUGCGAAAGCGUGGGGAUCAAACAGG
This 429-nucleotide ribosomal RNA is filed under the name Actinomycetes bacterium. Its description in RNAcentral is "Actinobacteria bacterium partial 16S ribosomal RNA". It matches the Rfam family "Bacterial small subunit ribosomal RNA", at positions 355 to 776 of the family's 1533-position model. The record is from RNAcentral. Lineage: Bacteria; Bacillati; Actinomycetota; Actinomycetes.